CUUCCGCCGAAUGCGCAUGCGCGGCAAGAGCCGCACGCGCAUUCAGUCAGUCCAUAGGAAUGCAUUCUCAAUGCAUUCCUAUGGACGCUGGCGUCUUCAACCUGUGAAAAUCACAGUGAGAAGCGCCUCUAGCAGCUUUCAAUGAGACAGCCACUAUAGGCUGGAUUAACCCUAAUGUUCUCUGAAACUGCUAUGUUUACAGCAGACAGGGUUAACCCU
This is a non-coding RNA of Pelobates cultripes (western spadefoot toad), 219 nucleotides long. The record is from the annotation of a GenBank genome assembly. NCBI's taxonomy places the organism in Eukaryota, Metazoa, Chordata, Amphibia, Anura, Pelobatidae.